Molecule: ribosomal RNA, 1538 nt
Filed under: uncultured bacterium
Lineage: Bacteria
Description: bacterial SSU rRNA
Rfam family: Bacterial small subunit ribosomal RNA
Source: RNAcentral
AGAGUUUGAUUCUGGCUCAGAAUCAACGCUGGCGGCGUGCCUAACACAUGCAAGUCGAGCGCGAACGGGAACUUCGGUUUCCUAGUAGAGCGGCGAACGGGUGAGUAACACGUGGGUAAUCUGCCUUCGGGUGGGGAAUAACUCAGGGAAACCUGGGCUAAUACCGCAUAAAGUCGCGGACCGUCGGGUCCGUGACCAAAGCUGGGGACCCUUCGGGGCCUGGCGCCUGGAGAGGAGCCCGCGGCCAAUUAGCUUGUUGGUGAGGUAACGGCUCACCAAGGCUCCGAUUGGUAGCCGGCCUGAGAGGGCGGACGGUCACACUGGAACUGAGACACGGUCCAGACUCCUACGGGAGGCAGCAGUGAGGAAUUUUCGUCAAUGGGGGAAACCCUGAACGAGCAACGCCGCGUGGAGGACGAAGACCCUCGGGUUGUAAACUCCUGUCGGACGGGACGAAAGUCAUCGAGGUCAAUACCCUCGGUGGUUGACGGUACCGUACAAGGAAGCCCCGGCUAACUUCGUGCCAGCAGCCGCGGUAAUACGAGGGGGGCAAGCGUUGUUCGGAAUUACUGGGCGUAAAGGGCGCGUAGGCGGUUUGGCAAGUCUCUCGUGAAAGCCCACGGCUCAACCGUGGAACUGCGGGAGAAACUGCCAGACUUGAGUCCGGGAGGGGGGAGUGGAAUUCCCAGUGGAGCGGUGAAAUGCGUAGAUAUUGGGAGGAACACCGGAGGCGAAGGCGUCUCCCUGGACCGGUACUGACGCUGAAGCGCGAAAGCGUGGGUAGCGAACGGGAUUAGAAACCCCGGUAGUCCACGCCGUAAACGAUGUACAUUAGGCGUUCGGCUAGGUUGCUAGUUGAGUGUCGCAGCAAACGCGCUAAAUGUACCGCCUGGGGAGUACGGUCGCAAGGCUAAAACUCAAAGGAAUUGACGGGGGCCCGCACAAGCAGCGGAGCGUGUGGUUUAAUUCGAGGCUGCGCGAAGAACCUUACCUGGGAAUGACAUGUCGGUAGUACGGAAGCGAAAGCGGAAGGACCCUUCGGGGAGCCGUCACAGGUGCUGCAUGGUUGUCGUCAGCUCGUGCCGUGAGGUGUUCGGUUAAGUCCGCAAACGAGCGCAACCCUCGGUGCUAGUUACAAGUGUCUAGCAUGACUGCCCGUGACAAACGGGAGGAAGGUGGGGAUGACGUCAAAUCAGCAUGGCCUUAAUAUCCAGGGCGACACACACGCUACAAUGGACGGUACAAUGGGUGGCGAAGCAGCGAUGCGGAGCGAAUCCUUCAAAGCCGUUCUCAGUUCGGAUUGCAGGCUGCAACUCGCCUGCAUGAAGGUGGAAUCGCUAGUAACCGCGAAUCAGCACGUUGCGGUGAAUACGUUCCCGGGCCUUGUACACACCGCCCGUCACGUCAUGGGAGUUGGUCGAGCCUGAAGUCGGGAAGCCAACCGUUAGGGGGCUACUGCCUAGGGCAGGGUCGAUGACUGGGACGAAGUCGUAACAAGGUAGCUGUAGCGGAAGCUGCGGCUGGAUCACCUCCUUUCU